RNAcentral lists this transfer RNA (72 nucleotides) under Sphaerothecum destruens. RNAcentral's name for it is "tRNA-Thr". It matches the Rfam family "tRNA". From Rfam's summary of the family: Transfer RNA (tRNA) molecules are approximately 80 nucleotides in length. Their secondary structure includes four short double-helical elements and three loops (D, anti-codon, and T loops). Further hydrogen bonds mediate the characteristic L-shaped molecular structure. tRNAs have two regions of fundamental functional importance: the anti-codon, which is responsible for specific mRNA codon recognition, and the 3' end, to which the tRNAs corresponding amino acid is attached (by aminoacyl-tRNA synthetases). tRNAs cope with the degeneracy of the genetic code in two manners: having more than one tRNA (with a specific anti-codon) for a particular amino acid; and 'wobble' base-pairing, i.e. permitting non-standard base-pairing at the 3rd anti-codon position. The record is from RNAcentral. Lineage: Eukaryota; Ichthyosporea; Dermocystida.
GCCUUAAUAGCUUAGAGGUAAAGUAUAUAUUUUGUAAAUAUAAGAAUAUUGGUUCAAUUCCAAUUUAAGGCU